GUCCCGUCCCGCUCCUGGUUCCUCGCCCAGCCCGUGGCUCCCCCUGGCUUUGCGGUGCCCCCCGGUGGCCGCAGCCAUCCGCGGUUGCGAGUUGCCCUCUGCCGGCCGCCGGCGGCCGCUCGCCUCCCGGUGCGACGUCACGCUGCUGUGACGUCAUAGGUGAAGCUGGGACACCGACAUAAGGGCGAGGGGCGGCUGGAGGGGCGAAGACCCCGCCAUCCCCUCCCCGUAACGCCGCGGGACCGGCUGGCCCAGAGGAAGAGAGCUCUGUGACCAGGUUCUUCCACUGACUGGAGUUUGCCGUUAUCAGAGCAACGUGGAGCAAAUUAAGUCGGUGGGAAACGCGUUUGUUGGCUCAAGCCCAAGGAACGUCAGUUCUUUAGAUUUCACAUCUGAAAGCUUGGCUUUGCCAAGACCUGCCUGCUGCACGGGACCUGCUGGAGUGACACACCGAACCGGCCAUGCGAACCAGUACAAAAGCUGGUCUUUUCUUCCUCUGCCCUUUACACAAAUAUAUUCGGGAUCUGUUCCAACUCCUGGCAACAAAGGCAGCUUCAGCUAUGCGGUCCUUGAGAGUGAAAAUACACCGGGGAAAAUCCUAAGCACAAAAAACUCCCUGGCUUUCCUGCCCCCGUGUGAGGGGAGUGUUAGAGGAGAGGGUGCAUCAGAAGUGGAUGGAUCGGGCUCUGAUAGCAACUGCUGGGGACUCUUGGAGAGUUCCCAGCAGAGAAUUUAUGGGGAAAAAGCAAAAACAUCACCACACGACACUGGGAGAAUUUCACUGUCUGGAAGAAAGAGCUUGGAUGGUAGAAAACUCGUGUUGCCUCAGCUGAGACAGGUGUCUGGAAACACCUAUGUAAGUUACACAUCAGUGCAUUUU
Long non-coding RNA from Cygnus olor (mute swan), 880 nucleotides. RefSeq lists it as uncharacterized. The transcript is spliced from 2 exons. NCBI's taxonomy places the organism in Eukaryota, Metazoa, Chordata, Aves, Anseriformes, Anatidae. The record is from RefSeq and is a predicted model, not a curated record.